GACGAACGCUGGCGGCGUGCUUAACACAUGCAAGUCGAACGGAAAGGCCCUGCUUUUGUGGGGUGCUCGAGUGGCGAACGGGUGAGUAACGCGUGAGUAACCUGCCCUUGACUUUGGGAUAACUUCAGGAAACUGGGGCUAAUACCGGAUAGGAGCUCCUGCUGCAUGGUGGGGGUUGGAAAGUUUCGGCGGUUGGGGAUGGACUCGCGGCUUAUCAGCUUGUUGGUGGGGUAGUGGCUUACCAAGGCUUUGACGGGUAGCCGGCCUGAGAGGGUGACCGGCCACAUUGGGACUGAGAUACGGCCCAGACUCCUACGGUAGGCAGCAGUGGGGAAUAUUGCACAAUGGGCGGAAGCCUGAUGCAGCAACGCCGCGUGCGUGAUGACGGCCUUCGGGUUGUAAACCGCUUUCGCCUGUGACGAAGCGUGAGUGACGGUAAUGGGUAAAGAAGCACCGGCUAACUACGUG
Molecule: ribosomal RNA, 468 nt
Filed under: uncultured bacterium
Lineage: Bacteria
Description: partial 16S ribosomal RNA
Rfam family: Bacterial small subunit ribosomal RNA
Source: RNAcentral